GAGGAAGUAAAAGUCGUAACAAGGUUUCCGUAGGUGAACCUGCGGAAGGAUCAUUAUCGAAAUUAUAGGUGAGGGUUGUAGCUGGCCUCUCGGGGCAUGUGCACGCCCGAGCCCUUAAUCCACACACACCUGUGAACCUAUUGUAAGGGCCCUUAAAAAAGGCCUUUACGUCUUAUCAUCAACCCAUCGUAUGUCUCAUAGAAUGUAAAUAUAUGUCCUCGCCUUAAAAAGCGUUGAUAAACUUAUACAACUUUCAACAACGGAUCUCUUGGCUCUCGCAUCGAUGAAGAACGCAGCGAAAUGCGAUAAGUAAUGUGAAUUGCAGAUUUUCAGUGAAUCAUCGAAUCUUUGAACGCACCUUGCGCUCCUUGGUAUUCCGAGGAGCAUGCCUGUUUGAGUGUCAUUAAAUUCUCAACUCYGAUCGAUUUGUUUCGACUUCGGAGCUUGGAUUUGGAGCGUGCUGGCGUCGGUCGGCUCCUCUUAAAUGCAUCAGCGGAAUCUAACGUUUCGGACGUCAGUGUGAUAAUCAUGUUGCGCUGUCUGUCUGAUCCGAAAGCCCGCUCACAAUGGUCUUCGGACAACUUCAUAUCAAAUUUGACCUCAAAUCAGGUAGGACUACCCGCUGAACUUAAGCAUAUC
Molecule: ribosomal RNA, 639 nt
Filed under: Piloderma olivaceum
Lineage: Eukaryota; Fungi; Basidiomycota; Agaricomycetes; Atheliales; Atheliaceae
Description: eukaryotic LSU rRNA
Source: RNAcentral